GCUGCGACGGUAUAAUGGUUAAUACAUUGCGCCUCAUGGAGCACUGUCCAGGUUCGAGUCCUGGUUGUGGCU
RNAcentral lists this transfer RNA (72 nucleotides) under Paramuricea clavata. Its description in RNAcentral is "tRNA-Met". It matches the Rfam family "tRNA". From Rfam's summary of the family: Transfer RNA (tRNA) molecules are approximately 80 nucleotides in length. Their secondary structure includes four short double-helical elements and three loops (D, anti-codon, and T loops). Lineage: Eukaryota; Metazoa; Cnidaria; Anthozoa; Malacalcyonacea; Plexauridae. The record is from RNAcentral.